GAUGAACGCUGGCGGCGUGCCUAAUACAUGCAAGUCGAGCGAACAGACGAGGAGCUUGCUCCUCUGACGUUAGCGGCGGACGGGUGAGUAACACGUGGAUAACCUACCUAUAAGACUGGGAUAACUUCGGGAAACCGGAGCUAAUACCGGAUAACAUGUUGAACCGCAUGGUUUAACAGUGAAAGACGGUCUUGCUGUCACUUAUAGAUGGAUCCGCGCCGCAUUAGCUAGUUGGUAAGGUAACGGCUUACCAAGGCAACGAUGCGUAGCCGACCUGAGAGGGGGAAUGGGCACCCUUGAACUGAGACACGGGCCAGGCCUCCAAGGGGGGGAAGAGUAGGGAAUUUUUCGGAAAGGGGGAAAACCGUAAGGGAGAAACCCGCGGGGAGGAAAAAGGUCUUCGGAUUGGAAAACCCUUUUAUUAGGGAAGAACAAAUGGGUAAGUAACUAUGCACGUCUUGACGGUACCUAAUAAGAAAGCCACGGCUAACUACGUG
Molecule: ribosomal RNA, 497 nt
Filed under: uncultured bacterium
Lineage: Bacteria
Description: partial 16S ribosomal RNA
Rfam family: Bacterial small subunit ribosomal RNA
Source: RNAcentral